UGGGGAAUUUUCCGCAAUGGGCGAAAGCCUGACGGAGCAAUACCGCGUGAGGGGGGAAGGCUUUUGGGUUGUAAACCUCUUUUCUCAGGGAAGAAAACUGACGGUACCUGAGGAAUAAGCAUCGGCUAACUCCGUGCCAGCAGCCGCGGUAAUACAGAGGGUGCAAACGUUGUUCGGAAUUACUGGGCGUAAAGAGCGUGUAGGCGGCACGUUAAGUCGACUGUGAAAGCCCAUGGCUCAACCAUGGAAGUGCAGUCGAUACUGGCAUGCUAGAGUCCCGGAGAGGGUGGUGGAAUUCCCAGUGUAGAGGUGAAAUUCGUAGAUAUUGGGAGGAACACCAGUGGCGAAGGCGACCACCUGGACGGGUACUGACGCUGAGACGCGAAAGCGUGGGGAGCAAACAGGAUUAGAUACCCCCGUAGUCC
Molecule: ribosomal RNA, 425 nt
Filed under: uncultured prokaryote
Description: bacterial SSU rRNA
Rfam family: Bacterial small subunit ribosomal RNA
Source: RNAcentral